GCGUAUGGCCGGCAUGCCUUACCAUGCAGUCGAACGGCAGCGCGGACUUCGGUCUGGCGGCGAGUGGCGAACGGGUGAGUAAUGCAUCGGAACGUGCCCAGUAGCGGGGGAUAACUACGCGAAAGCGUAGCUAAUACCGCAUACGCCCUACGGGGGAAAGGGGGGGAUCGCAAGACCUCUCACUAUUGGAGCGGCCGAUGUCGGAUUAGCUAGUUGGUGGGGUAAAGGCCUACCAAGGCGACGAUCCGUAGCUGGUUUGAGAGGACGACCAGCCACACUGGGACUGAGACACGGCCCAGACUCCUACGGGAGGCAGCAGUGGGGAAUUUUGGACAAUGGGGGCAACCCUGAUCCAGCCAUGCCGCGUGUGCGAAGAAGGCCUUCGGGUUGUUAAAGCACUUUUGGCAGGAAAGAAACGGCGCCGGCUAAUAUCUGGCGUAACUGACGGUACCUGCAGAAUAAGCACCGGCUAACUACGUGCCAGCAGCCGCGGUAAUACGUAGGGUGCAAGCGUUAAUCGGAAUUACUGGGCGUAAAGCGUGCGCAGGCGGUUCGGAAAGAAAGAUGUGAAAUCCCAGGGCUCAACCUUGGAACUGCAUUUUUAACUCCCGAACUAGAGUGUGUCAGAGGGGGGUGGAAUUCCACGUGUAGCAGUGAAAUGCGUAGAUAUGUGGAGGAACACCGAUGGCGAAGGCAGCCCCCUGGGAUAACACUGACGCUCAUGCACGAAAGCGUGGGGAGCAAACAGGAUUAGAUACCCUGGUAGUCCACGCCCUAAACGAUGUCAACUAGCUGUUGGGUUCUUCGGAGCUUGGUAGCGCAGCUAACGCGUGAAGUUGACCGCCUGGGGAGUACGGUCGCAAGAUUAAAACUCAAAGGAAUUGACGGGGACCCGCACAAGCGGUGGAUGAUGUGGAUUAAUUCGAUGCAACGCGAAAAACCUUACCUACCCUUGACAUGUCUGGAAUCCCGAAGAGAUUUGGGAGUGCUCGAAAGAGAACCGGAACACAGGUGCUGCAUGGCCGUCGUCAGCUCGUGUCGUGAGAUGUUGGGUUAAGUCCCGCAACGAGCGCAACCCUUGUCAUUAGUUGCUACGAAAGGGCACUCUAAUGAGACUGCCGGUGACAAACCGGAGGAAGGUGGGGAUGACGUCAGGUCCUCAUGGCCCUUAUGGGUAGGGCUUCACACGUCAUACAAUGGUCGGGACAGAGGGCAGCCAACCCGCGAGGGGGAGCCAAUCCCAGAAACCCGAUCGUAGUCCGGAUUGCAGUCUGCAACUCGACUGCAUGAAGUCGGAAUCGCUAGUAAUCGCGGAUCAGCAUGUCGCGGUGAAUACGUUCCCGGGUCUUGUACACACCGCCCGUCACACCAUGGGAGUGGGUUCUACCAGAAGUAGGUAGCCUAACCGUAAGGAGGGCGCUACCACGUAGGUCGG
Molecule: ribosomal RNA, 1435 nt
Filed under: Pigmentiphaga sp.
Lineage: Bacteria; Pseudomonadati; Pseudomonadota; Betaproteobacteria; Burkholderiales; Alcaligenaceae
Description: bacterial SSU rRNA
Rfam family: Bacterial small subunit ribosomal RNA
Source: RNAcentral